Molecule: ribosomal RNA, 562 nt
Filed under: uncultured fungus
Lineage: Eukaryota; Fungi
Description: eukaryotic LSU rRNA
Rfam family: 5.8S ribosomal RNA (bases 206-359)
Source: RNAcentral
CGUACAGGUCUCCGUAGGUGAACCUGCGGAGGGAUCAUUACACAAAUAUGAAGGCGGGCUGGAACCUCUCGGGGUUACAGCCUUGCUGAAUUAUUCACCCUUGUCUUUUGCGUACUUCUUGUUUCCUUGGUGGGUUCGCCCACAACUAGGACAAACAUAAACCUUUUGUAAUUGCAAUCAGCGUCAGUAACAAAUUAAUAAUUACAACUUUCAACAACGGAUCUCUUGGUUCUGGCAUCGAUGAAGAACGCAGCGAAAUGCGAUAAGUAGUGUGAAUUGCAGAAUUCAGUGAAUCAUCGAAUCUUUGAACGCACAUUGCGCCCUUUGGUAUUCCAAAGGGCAUGCCUGUUCGAGCGUCAUUUGUACCCUCAAGCUUUGCUUGGUGUUGGGCGUCUUGUCUCUAGCUUUGCUGGAGACUCGCCUUAAAGUAAUUGGCAGCCGGCCUACUGGUUUCGGAGCGCAGCACAAGUCGCACUCUCUAUCAGCAAAGGUCUAGCAUCCAUUAAGCCUUUUUUUCAACUUUUGACCUCGGAUCAGGUAGGGAUACCCGCUGAACUUAAGC